RNAcentral lists this ribosomal RNA (539 nucleotides) under Helotiales sp. Its description in RNAcentral is "eukaryotic LSU rRNA". The stretch from base 189 to 342 matches the Rfam family "5.8S ribosomal RNA". The record is from RNAcentral. Lineage: Eukaryota; Fungi; Ascomycota; Leotiomycetes; Helotiales.
GUCGUAGUGACCUGCGGAGGUCAUUAAAGAACGCCCCGUUUUUUGAAAUGGGUAAUUCCCAAACCCGUGUUUACAUACCUUUGUUGCUUUGGUAGGCCGCCUUCUAGGCGUCGGCUCAGGCUGAUUGUGCUUGCCAGAGGACCCAAACUCGUUUGUUUAGUGUCGUCUGAGUACUAUAUAAUAGUUAAAACUUUCAACAACGGAUCUCUUGGUUCUGGCAUCGAUGAAGAACGCAGCGAAAUGCGAUAAGUAAUGUGAAUUGCAGAAUUCAGUGAAUCAUCGAAUCUUUGAACGCACAUUGCGCCCCUUGGUAUUCCGAGGGGCAUGCCUGUUCGAGCGUCAUUAUGACCACUCAAGUCUCGGCUUGGUAUUGGGGUUCGCGGUUCCGCGGCUCUUAAAACUAGUGGCGGUGUCGUCUGGCUCUAAGCGUAGUAAUUCUCUCGCUAUAGGGUUUAGAUGAUUGCUUGCUAGAAUCCCCCCCACCUUUAUAGGUUGACCUCGGAUCAGGUAGGGAUACCCGCUGAACUUAAGCAUAUCAA